AUGCAAAGUGAUGUAACAUCCCUCUCUCUCAAGCUCUUACUUUAAUCUGAAAUACAACAAAAGAGCACAAUUAUUCACUUAAGAAAAUAUACAAAAAAUAAUUCAAAUCACCCUAGGAAUGUCUCAAAUUCACUUUGAAAGAAAAAUAAAUCAACAUAAGAUUCCAACCUUGAAAACAACCAAAUUUUGAUCUGGCACGGAAUCACCUUUGAUGUCACAACUUGAGUUU
Molecule: long non-coding RNA, 229 nt
Filed under: Physcomitrium patens
Lineage: Eukaryota; Viridiplantae; Streptophyta; Bryopsida; Funariales; Funariaceae
Description: long non-coding RNA (PPAT_LNC004346)
Source: RNAcentral